This 463-nucleotide ribosomal RNA is filed under the name uncultured bacterium. RNAcentral's name for it is "partial 16S ribosomal RNA". It matches the Rfam family "Bacterial small subunit ribosomal RNA", at positions 339 to 795 of the family's 1533-position model. The record is from RNAcentral.
CCACGGGAGGCUGCAGUGGGGAAUAUUGCACAAUGGGCGCAAGCCUGAUGCAGCCAUGCCGCGUGUAUGAAGAAGGCCUUCGGGUUGUAAAGUACUUUCAGCGGGGAGGAAGGGAGUAAAGUUAAUACCUUUGCUCAUUGACGUUACCCGCAGAAGAAGCACCGGCUAACUCCGUGCCAGCGAGCCGCGGUAAUACGGAGGGUGCAAGCGUUAUCGGAAUUACGGGCGUAAAGCGCACGCAGGCGGUUUGUUAAGUCAGAUGGGAAAUCCCCGGGCUCAACCUGGGAACUGCAUCUGAUACUGGCAAGCUUGAGGCUCGUAGAGGGGGGUAGAAUUCCAGGUGUAGCGGUGAAAUGCGUAGAGAUCUGGAGGAAUACCGGUGGCGAAGGCGGCCCCCUGGACGAAGACUGACGCUCAGGUGCGAAAGCGUGGGGAGCAAACAGGAUUAGAUACCCCAGUAGUC